RNAcentral lists this ribosomal RNA (492 nucleotides) under uncultured bacterium. Its description in RNAcentral is "partial 16S ribosomal RNA". It matches the Rfam family "Bacterial small subunit ribosomal RNA", at positions 29 to 507 of the family's 1533-position model. The record is from RNAcentral.
AGUGAACGCUGGCGGUAGGCCUAACACAUGCAAGUCGAACGGCAGCACAGUAAGAGCUUGCUCUUACGGGUGGCGAGUGGCGGACGGGUGAGGAAUACAUCGGAAUCUACUUUUUCGUGGGGGAUAACGUAGGGAAACUUACGCUAAUACCGCAUACGACCUACGGGUGAAAGCAGGGGAUCUUCGGACUUUGCGCGAUUGAAUGAGCCGAUGUCGGAUUAGCUAGUUGGCGGGGUAAAGGCCCACCAAGGCGACGAUCCGUAGCUGGUCUGAGAGGAUGAUCAGCCACACUGGAACUGAGACACGGUCCAGACUCCUACGGGAGGCAGCAGUGGGGAAUAUUGGACAAUGGGCGCAAGCCUGAUCCAGCCAUACCGCGUGGGUGAAGAAGGCCUUCGGGUUGUAAAGCCCUUUUGUUGGGAAAGAAAAGCGGCAGGUUAAUACCCCGCUGUUCUGACGGUACCCAAAGAAUAAGCACCGGCUAACUUCGUG